CCAUGGCGCCGCGGGAAUUCGAUUAAAGUCGGAUUAAUGCCUUAUGAAGUGAGAAGAAGACAUCUGAUUUUCACUAAAGCUGAGGCGGUAUAGGAUGGGGAUGCGUCCGAUUAGGUAGACGGCGGGGUAACGGCCCACCGUGCCGACGAUCGGUAGGGGUUCUGAGAGGAAGGUCCCCCACACUGGAACUGAGACACGGUCCAGACUCCUACGGGAGGCAGCAGUGAGGAAUAUUGGUCAAUGGGCGAUAGCCUGAACCAGCCAAGUAGCGUGAGGGAAGACGGCCCUAUGGGUUGUAAACCUCUUUAGUCCGGGAAUAAAGUGGGCGACGUGUCGCCUAUUGCAUGUACCGGAAGAAUAAGGACCGGCUAAUUCCGUGCCAGCAGCCGCGGUAAUACGGAAGGUCCGGGCGUUAUCCGGAUUUAUUGGGUUUAAAGGGAGCGCAGGCGGUCUGAUAAGCGGGCAGUGAAAGACGGUGGCUCAACCAUCGAGGUGCUGUCCGAACUGUCGGACUUGAGUACGUGCGAGGCAGGCGGAAUUCGUGGUGUAGCGGUGAAAUGCUUAGAUAUCACGAAGAACCCCGAUUGCGAAGGCAGCUUGCCAGUGCGCCACUGACGCUAAAGCUCGAAAGUGCGGGUAUCGAACAGGAUUAGAUACCCUGGUAGUCCGCACGGUAAACGAUGGAUGCUCGCUGUUCGUUGCGUUUAUAGUGAUGAGCGGCCAAGCGAAAGCGUUAAGCAUCCCACCUGGGGAGUACGCCGGCAACGGUGAAACUCAAAGGAAUUGACGGGGGCCCGCACAAGCG
This 805-nucleotide ribosomal RNA is filed under the name uncultured bacterium. RNAcentral's name for it is "bacterial SSU rRNA". It matches the Rfam family "Bacterial small subunit ribosomal RNA", at positions 130 to 931 of the family's 1533-position model. The record is from RNAcentral.